Molecule: long non-coding RNA, 762 nt
Organism: Cucurbita pepo subsp. pepo (vegetable marrow)
Lineage: Eukaryota; Viridiplantae; Streptophyta; Magnoliopsida; Cucurbitales; Cucurbitaceae
Source: RefSeq, a predicted model, not a curated record
CAAGAAAAUAGUGAGAGAGAAAAGUUGAGAGGAGAUAAAAGAAGCCACCGCGAAAUCUCGUCGGAUCGCCGCCGGAAUCCACCUUCAGUCGAGACCUUAACAUAAGAACUCCCUGCUUGGAAGGACAGAUGGGCUCGCGAGGCCAAUGCUCCAUCAAGAUCUGAGAGUUCGCGAGGGAGGUUGUACUUCAAGAUCUGUGAAGUAACUCGGUCGAAAAACGUGACUGGAGUUAGAUCUGAGAGUGCUUCCAAGAACGAUAAUCAAGAGAUGACCUACUUCCGAUGUUCAUAAAUUGAUUUGAGGAGAGAGGAAUUUUUCCGACAGCCACGUGUCAACCGGCGAUUGGUGAAGCACGGCUUGGCAAGGCGAGGACACGACUCAAGCGUCGACUAGAGCUACGCGUUGGACGUCAGGUGGAGCAACGCAGACACGUGUCGUCUGCAAACCCACAACUGCGAACCGACCCAGAACCAUCAGCACAAACCAACCCGUGAUCCUACAGAGCGAAUUGAGCCACCUACCCAAACAGCUACCAAACCAGACCGCUGACCCGCGACUGCACAGAAUCAACCCGCGUGUGGUACUCGCGCGUGCCACCUGUAACUAGGACCUUCCCCCGGCGUGUGAGGGCCGGUGUAAGGACCAUGUAAGGCCCAUUUUGCUCCGUUCGACUUCUGCUUGCCCAAUUUUCGUCCUUAUUCUAAUUCUAACCAUGUUUUUAUGUGAUUAAAGACCUAAUUGAUUAAAAUUAAUAUUUUUGGA